Non-coding RNA from Podarcis lilfordi (Lilford's wall lizard), 94 nucleotides. The record is from the annotation of a GenBank genome assembly. NCBI's taxonomy places the organism in Eukaryota, Metazoa, Chordata, Lepidosauria, Squamata, Lacertidae.
UGUGUGUGUAUGUGUGUGUGUGUGUGUAUGUAUAUGUAUGUAUAUAUAUGUGUGUGUGUGUGUGUAUACACACACACACACACGCACACACGCG